UAUAAAGAAAUGUUUCUCUCCUUUUCAGCCUGCCACGUCAUUAAGUAGUGGAAGGAGAGAGCGACACGUGUCCACCUUCUCUGAGUUUCGUUGCUUUUUGUGUAGCUUCAUUUUGGGCUUUACGGGUUUAAUUGUAGUGGCUCCCGACAUUCAUUAAGUGCCCAAUUGAAAUUAAUAGCCACGCUCUUCGUCUUCAAGGAAUUGCGACUCCAUUUCUAGGGUUUAUUUUGUUCUUCAGCCUCUGAUUUUAUCGUCCUUCUUCUUCGAUCUCUAACAAUGGAGUUCCAGGAUGGUGUGAUAGUCGAAUCGUCAUUAGAAAUCUUUGGGUCGAGCUUUGUUGGCGUCGUUUCGUGUUAGGUUCUUCUCUCUCAAACAUAACGGGAUCCAUUAAGGUCGCCAUUAACAGCCAUCUUUACUCCUUCAACCCACAGAUCAAUCGUUCAAUGCAUAUUAUCUCUCUGGAGGCGGUGGAUAUACACCUAUAAAAGGAGCCUCUGCUAACUGGAUCGUUCCUCUGUGCCCAUCAUAUUGGUAAUGCCUGAUUGAUCAGGCAAUAAGCUUUAUAAUCAAGUACGAAGCCAUGGAUAAAGAUUACUAGGGAGAUCAAGCGUUGAUCAUAGGUGGAGCAAUAGAGUUUGUGAGAGAGCUGGAGCACCUUCUACAAUGCCUAGAGUUAAUAAAAGCGUCGGAGAAUCCUUGGAGAAACCGUUAAUAGGCAAAUUAGAGACAUGACCACGACAAUGUCUUCUUCUUCACUAAUAACUUCAGUUGCUUACCCGGUAAUUAUUUCUGGAAAUGUAACUGAACAGAGGGUGGCGGAGGAGGCCUCGGUAGGAAACAGCACAAAAGCCCGUGCUUGCCUGAUGUGGAGGUGAAGCUGCUAAGGUUUGAUGCCAUGAUCAAGAUACUUUCAAGAAGAAGACCAGACAACUGAUACUAUUGCUGUUUUGGAGGAUCUUUAUCUCUCUAUUCUUCACACAAACUUCACUACCAUGGAACAAACCGUCAUGUACUUUAAUGGCAAGGCAAAUUUCACCUUCGUAAAUUAUAAUCAUACGCAUUUAUAUGUAUAGUACAUCCUACAUAUAAAGUUUCUUACCAUAUGAUUGGAUUGCUUUAAUUAAAAUAUGCAUAUUAUAGUAAGCUACAAGGAAAAGUGGACGUUGAAGGUUUCCUCCCAGCACAAACUGCCAUAGACGCAAUUAAGGACUCCAUGGAUCUUUACGCAGCUUACAUCAAAGCUGUCUUGCAACGUUAAUGAACAUACCAGUCAAAUCCGUUCCUCCAGGUUUGCUUUCAUACCUUCUCAGGUUCUCUGGAGAACAUCCUAUUCAAGGUCUUAUGUUGAAAUCCGUAUGAAUUUUAGUCAACACGGAUCUGUGCGGAUCGUUGUCAAUCAAGAUAAGAAAACUCUGAAUUUGUUUUUUUCUUCCUUUCUUGCGAGUGAAUGAAUUAUGUUUUGGUUUUCCUUGGCACAGUGUAAGGAAGUUUGUGUAGUAUGUACAUGAUGAUGACAUCACCAAGUCCCAUAUUCUCAAUUUGCUUUUUAAUAUACCAUAUAGACACUUUCUUAGCAACUCUGUUGACUCUCUGAACGUUCUAAACAUGUAACCACAAACAAUAGAAACAAUAGAUAAAACAUGCAGCCAUUCAAACAAUCAGAGCAGUAGAUAGUUAGUUAAAUUUGUUGGCCAUAGCAUCCUAAACGCGAUGAUAAUGUAUAUAGAAAAUCAUUUGACAUAGGUUUCAUACAAAACAAUUUAACCAAUUUUUUAAACCUACCAAAAAAGUCAAUCAACAAACAACAGUACAAGAUCCCGUAACAAUUUAACCAAUUUUUUAAGCUCUCUCCACAUUAACUAUUUCGUGAUGAAAAGGUAACUGCUGAAAAUCGGACUACGACACACUAUUAAUUCCCACGGUUUUUUUUUUCAGAAACACCACAGCUAAUAAUGGUCCAUAAGUUACAUUCGGAUAUUAUUCAAAGCCUCUCAUCUCAUCUGCACAUCUUUUCCCGUUAAAUUUCACAAAUUAUAUAUCAAUUCUUUCAUUUCAGUAACUUUGAGAAAAUACAAAUUGGGCUUUUGAUUUUUUUUCCUUAGAUUCUUUCGAGCUUUUAUGAGUCCUAGAUCGUUGGACAUAUAUAUCAUCAAAAGUAAUAGAGAAGACAUAGGUUUUGUUAAGAAGACUUUUUAUUUGUCAAGGAGACUUACUUUUUUUUUGGUCAAGGAGACUUACUAAACAAAAAAAAAAGAUGGAGAGAGGGAGAGACUAUUAUUUAAUAUGGAGUUAUUUUUAAAAAUGUAUAUUUAGCUUUGUAAUCGUGCUUGAUGUGAUAAUUAAGUCGAGGACUAUUCAGGUUUCCAUACUUAAAUACGAAAUUUGAAGGAUAGACAGAUAAUUUUUUAGAACAAAAAAAACUAAGUACAAUAUUUUGAAGUAAUUCUCAUGAAAUUUGCUUAUUUUUUGUCAAUAAACUCAAGUUAAAGAAAUUAACAAAAAAAGAAAAAUGGAAACCAUAACCAAUGAUUAAUGAACAAUCAAAACAAGUAUUUUUUUUUACAAAAAAUAGUUUAAAAUUAGAGUUUAGAAAAUAUAACAUCAAAAAAUGAAAAAAAUAUUGAAAAUACACCAUAUAAUUACGAAAAAUAAGCCAACAAACAAUAAUUUAGUGAGAAUGCAUAAUCUAAUUUAUAAUAUAUAUAAACUUCCAAAAUAUCUAAAUAAAUCAUAACAACAAAAGGAAAGGAAAUACAUUUUUGAUAUUAUUUCUCAUGUUUCAUCAAACUCAGACCAGCGGAAAAAUAUCUAUUCUCGCAAAUAUUUUUUUCUUUUGUGCGUACCAAACUAGAACCUUACAAAAUUAAUAUGAAAAUAGAUGGAAAAGAACAAGAAGUGAUUAUACAUAAUCAAAAUAUUUUAUUUUUAAACAAUAAAAUUAUCUAAUAAAUUAAAAAUAAAAAUACCAUCCAUAGUACUAUCACCAAGUAUCGAUACAUUUAAAAAGAAAAAGAAAAAUGA
Molecule: long non-coding RNA, 3021 nt
Organism: Brassica rapa (field mustard)
Lineage: Eukaryota; Viridiplantae; Streptophyta; Magnoliopsida; Brassicales; Brassicaceae
Source: RefSeq, a predicted model, not a curated record